RNAcentral lists this ribosomal RNA (967 nucleotides) under Trigonopterus sp. 776 AR-2022a. RNAcentral describes it as "SSU rRNA". It matches the Rfam family "Eukaryotic small subunit ribosomal RNA", at positions 23 to 931 of the family's 1831-position model. The record is from RNAcentral. Lineage: Eukaryota; Metazoa; Arthropoda; Insecta; Coleoptera; Curculionidae.
GUCAUAUGCUUGUCUCAAAGAUUAAGCCAUGCAUGUCUCAGUACAGGCCAAAUUAAGGUGAAACCGCGAAAGGCUCAUUAAAUCAGUUAUGGUUCCUUAGAUCGUACCCACAAUUACUUGGAUAACUGUGGUAAUUCUAGAGCUAAUACAUGCAAACAGAGCUCCGACCGGAGACGGGAGGAGUGCUUUUAUUAGAUCAAAACCAAUCGGCGGCGGGUUCGCUCGUCGCCGUACAACUUGGCGAUUCUGAAUAACUUUACGCUGAUCGCACGGUCAUCGCACCGGCGACGCAUCUUUCAAAUGUCUGCCUUAUCAACUGUCGAUGGUAGGUUCUGCGCCUACCAUGGUUGUAACGGGUAACGGGGAAUCAGGGUUCGAUUCCGGAGAGGGAGCCUGAGAAACGGCUACCACAUCCAAGGAAGGCAGCAGGCGCGCAAAUUACCCACUCCCGGCACGGGGAGGUAGUGACGAAAAAUAACGAUACGGGACUCAUCCGAGGCCCCGUAAUCGGAAUGAGUACACUCUAAAUCCUUUAACGAGGAUCAAUUGGAGGGCAAGUCUGGUGCCAGCAGCCGCGGUAAUUCCAGCUCCAAUAGCGUAUAUUAAAGUUGUUGCGGUUAAAAAGCUCGUAGUCGAAUUUGUGUCUCGCGCCGCCGGUUCAUCGUUCGCGGUGUUAACUGGCGAGUCGCGAGACGUCCUGCCGGUGGGCUUAGCUCGCGAGGGCGGCCCAACUCAAUCCUGCCGCGGUGCUCUUCAUUGAGUGUCGAGGUGGGCCGGCACGUUUACUUUGAACAAAUUAGAGUGCUUAAAGCAGGCUAAAACUUCGCCUGAAUAUUGUGUGCAUGGAAUAAUGGAAUAGGACCUCGGUUCUAUUUUGUUGGUUUUCGGAACCCCGAGGUAAUGAUUAAUAGGAACGGAUGGGGGCAUUCGUAUUGCGACGUUAGAGGUGAAUUUCUUGGAUCGUCGC